UAUUGGGUGUGUAUAGGGUGUGUGUAUAGGGUGUGUAUAUAGGGUGUGUGUAUUGGGUGUGUGUAUAGGGUGUGUGUAUUGGGUGUGUGUAUAAGGUGUGUGUAUUGGGUGUGUAUAUAGGGUGUGUGUAUAGGGUGUGUGUAUAGGGUGUGUGUAUAGGGUGUGUAUAGGGUGUGUGUAUAGGGUGUGUGUAUUGGGUGUGUAUAUAGGGUGUGUGUAUAGGGUGUGUGUAUAGGGUGUGUAUAUAGGGUGUGUGUAUAGGGUGUGUGUAUAGGGUGUGUAUAUAGGGUGUGUGUAUAAGGUGUGUGUAUUGGGUGUGUAUAUAGGGUGUGUGUAUAGGGUGUGUGUAUAGGGUGUGUAUAUAGGGUGUGUGUAUAGGGUGUGUGUAUAGGGUGUGUAUAUAGGGUGUGUGUAUAGGGUGUGUGUAUAGGGUGUGUGUAUAGGGU
This is a long non-coding RNA of Oncorhynchus tshawytscha (Chinook salmon), 446 nucleotides long. Lineage: Eukaryota; Metazoa; Chordata; Actinopteri; Salmoniformes; Salmonidae. The record is from Ensembl.